This 66-nucleotide transfer RNA is filed under the name Streptomyces spororaveus. RNAcentral's name for it is "tRNA-Arg". The record is from RNAcentral. Lineage: Bacteria; Bacillati; Actinomycetota; Actinomycetes; Kitasatosporales; Streptomycetaceae.
GGACCUGCUGGCCGAGGGCGGCCCGGUGCCCGCGGUGCGCCUGACCCGGAUCUUCCGGCAGGCCCA